AUGCCUUCUUACAACAAGAGUACAAAGAAAAGAAUUUGACAUUGUGAAGGGUCCAAAUUCUACCACAUUAAAUAAUAGGCUGGUUUCAUGGCCACUGGAUGAGCAGAAGUGUUUGUGCCUGUGUAAAUGGCCUCAGAUUACUCCUCCUAUAGAGCAGCUGGAUUUUCUUUUCAUAAUUGUUCAAUCUCUUCCGCUGCUGAUAAAUUGUCAGUCUCAGCAUCUAGCCCGUUGCAACUCUUUUCCAGUCUUUCUAAUUUGGUCCUUCUAAUCUUCUGUUGUCUUGGAAAAAACACACAUAUUUGUUAGAAGUGUGAGCAAACUAACAGAACACAGAUCUGAGAGAGGGCUGCAAAGUGGAGACACUGGCAAGCUGAGAUGCAGAGUGGGGAGGUGUUCAAAAUGAAUGGCCCUUGUAGGUGGGAGUUAAAUCAUGAAAUAGCACGCAAGUCAUGUUGAAGAGUUUGGGUUUUAUCCUGAGGGCAACUGGGAGCUUUGGAAGAAUUCAAGAAGGACGACACAGGGCAACUACAGGAGGGAAAAAGUAAAGAUGGAAGCCACACCGAGGAGGAGAGAGAAGCUUUCGAUGAUGAACCAAGAACGUCAUAGAGUUGGAAUCCUACAGUAUGUAACCUUUUCAGAUCGGCCUUGUUCACUUGGUAAUAUGCAUUGCUGGGAAAGCUGUACGAGGUCUGGAGCGCGGGGCAUCCCGGGAUCAGCUCCCUGCUGCCACAACCCCACUGGUGUUAUUAGUAUCCUCAUCAGAAUGACGUCUUUUCCAGCAGCUUGUUUCUAGCACGUUUCUGAGUUUCUACAGCCCAUCCAGAUCUAGGCCCCUGGUCACAUCCCAGAGCCACCCCCACCACAGACACAAGGCCCCUCAGUGCCAGGCCCCCUUGGUGGAUCUCAAAUGGUUUUGCAUGAGCCCCACCCCACAUAAGGCAGCAGAAGCAGGCUCUUACCCUAUUCGGCAGAUGGGCAGGCUGUGGCUCAGAGAAGCUGAGUGGCUGGCAUAAAAUGGCACAGGAUCUCCUCUACAACCACCUACAACCACCCUCCAUACAGCAAGCCCCUCAGCUUCCCUUUCCACCCAAAGGUCUGGCUCCCACUCUUGGAUGAAGAGAAGGAGCGUCUGAACCCAAAAUUCCUUACAGCACAAUAGACAACUGAAAAACAACUCAACAGAAUUUUAAUUAUUCACAGAAAACGUGUACUGUGUACAAGGUAUUGACCAAAGAACUUUAUAAAUACUAACUCAUUUUCUCCUUAUAACUACCUUAAUGAAGCAGGUACAAUUAUUAUCCCCAUUUUAUAGGUGAGGAAACUGAGGCAGGGAGAGAGUAACUGGCCCAGGGCCACACAGCUAGGAGGCCAGAGAGCCGGCAGUGGCCCACACUUUUAGACACUGCACUCUGCUACCUGCGGAUUUUUUGUUUGUACCAUUUUCCAGUUAUUAAUUUUUAAACAGUUUUAUUGAGGUAUAAUUUAAUGGUGUAAUUUAACUUAAGAUUUACCCAUUUUAAGUGUACAAUUAAAUGAUUUCAGUUAAUUUAUAGAAUUGUGCAACCAUUAUAACGAACCAAUUUUGGCACAUUUCCAUCAUCCCAGAAAAGAUCCUUUAUGUCCACUUCCUGUCACUGUUUCAACCUCCAGCCUGAGGCAACCACUAAUCUACUUUCUGUCUCUGUAGAUUUGCCUCUUCUGGAAACUUCAUAAUAAUGAAGUCAGAGAAUGUUGGGUCUUUUGAGUCUGUUUUUGAGGUUGAUCCCUGGGGUAGCAUGUGUCAGCACGUCAUUCCUUUUCAUUGCUGACUAAUAGUCUGUCGUGUGGCUAUCCCACAUUUUGUCUAUCCAUUCACCAGCUGAUGGAUUUUUUUGGUUGUUUCCACUUUUUGGCCGUGAUGAAUAAAGCUG
Long non-coding RNA from Equus caballus (horse), 1910 nucleotides. NCBI's taxonomy places the organism in Eukaryota, Metazoa, Chordata, Mammalia, Perissodactyla, Equidae. The record is from Ensembl.